AGUGAACGCUGGCGGUAGGCCUAACACAUGCAAGUCGAACGGCAGCACAGUAAGAGCUUGCUCUUACGGGUGGCGAGUGGCGGACGGGUGAGGGAUACAUCGGAAUCUACUUUUUCGUGGGGGAUAACGUAGGGAAACUUACGCUAAUACCGCAUACGACCUACGGGUGAAAGCAGGGGAUCUUCGGACCUUGCGCGAUUGAAUGAGCCGAUGUCGGAUUAGCUAGUUGGCGGGGUAAAGGCCCACCAAGGCGACGAUCCGUAGCUGGUCUGAGAGGAUGAUCAGCCACACUGGAACUGAGACACGGUCCAGACUCCUACGGGAGGCAGCAGUGGGGAAUAUUGGACAAUGGGCGCAAGCCUGAUCCAGCCAUACCGCGUGGGUGAAGAAGGCCUUCGGGUUGUAAAGCCCUUUUGUUGGGAAAGAAAAGCAGCAGGUUAAUACCCCGCUGUUCUGACGGUACCCAAAGAAUAAGCACCGACUAACUUCGUG
RNAcentral lists this ribosomal RNA (492 nucleotides) under uncultured bacterium. RNAcentral describes it as "partial 16S ribosomal RNA". It matches the Rfam family "Bacterial small subunit ribosomal RNA", at positions 29 to 507 of the family's 1533-position model. The record is from RNAcentral.